RNAcentral lists this ribosomal RNA (253 nucleotides) under uncultured bacterium. RNAcentral describes it as "partial 16S ribosomal RNA". It matches the Rfam family "Bacterial small subunit ribosomal RNA", at positions 524 to 776 of the family's 1533-position model. The record is from RNAcentral.
UACGUAGGGGGCAAGCGUUGUCCGGAUUUAUUGGGCGUAAAGAGCGUGUAGGCGGUUUGGUAGGUCCGCUGUGAAAACUCGAGGCUCAACCUCGAGACGCCGGUGGAAACCAUCAGACUAGAGUCCGGAAGAGGAGAGUGGAAUUCCUGGUGUAGCGGUGAAAUGCGCAGAUAUCGGGAAGAACACCUAUGGCGAAGGCAGCUCUCUGGGACGGUACUGACGCUGAGACGCGAAAGCGUGGGGAGCGAACAGG